This 498-nucleotide ribosomal RNA is filed under the name uncultured bacterium. RNAcentral's name for it is "bacterial SSU rRNA". It matches the Rfam family "Bacterial small subunit ribosomal RNA", at positions 899 to 1397 of the family's 1533-position model. The record is from RNAcentral.
ACUCAAAUGAAUUGACGGGGGCCCGCACAAGCGGUGGAGUAUGUGGUUUAAUUCGACGCAACGCGAAAAACCUUACCUGGGCUUGAACUGCUAGUGGUAAAAGCCGGAAACGGUGAUGACCCGCAAGGGAGUUAGCAGAGGUGCUGCAUGGCUGUCGUCAGCUCGUGUCGUGAGAUGUUGGGUUAAGUCCCGCAACGAGCGCAACCCUUAUCCCAUGUUACCUGUAGUGAUACAGGGUCUCUGAGGAAACUGCCAUUGAUAAAAUGGAGGAAGGUGGGGACGACGUCAAGUCAUCAUGGCCUUUAUGUCCAGGGCUACACACGUACUACAAUGGUUGGUACAGAGGGUAGCAAUAUCGUAAGAUGGAGCAAAUCUCUAAAAACCAGCCUCAGUUCAGAUUGUGGGCUGCAAUUCGCCCACAUGAAGUAGGAAUCGCUAGUAAUCGCAGAUCAGCAGGCUGCGGUGAAUACGUUCCCGGGCCUUGCACACACCGCCCGU